This 301-nucleotide ribosomal RNA is filed under the name uncultured bacterium. RNAcentral's name for it is "partial 16S ribosomal RNA". It matches the Rfam family "Bacterial small subunit ribosomal RNA", at positions 509 to 807 of the family's 1533-position model. The record is from RNAcentral.
CAGCAGCCGCGGGAAUACGGAGGGUGCAAGCGUUAAUCGGAAUUACUGGGCGUAAAGCGCACGCAGGCGGUUUGUUAAGUCAGAUGUGAAAUCCCCGAGCUUAACUUGGGGACUGCAUUUGAAACUGGCAAGCUAGAGUCUUGUAGAGGGGGGUAGAAUUCCAGGUGUAGCGGUGAAAUGCGUAGAGAUCUGGAGGAAUACCGGUGGCGAAGGCGGCCCCCUGGACAAAGACUGACGCUCAGGUGCGAAAGCGUGGGGAGCAAACAGGAUUAGAUACCCGCGUAGUCCCUGUCUCUUAUAC